CCAUCAGCAACGCCGCAGACCGCGCCGGCAUC
This 32-nucleotide non-coding RNA is filed under the name Geobacter sulfurreducens PCA. Lineage: Bacteria; Pseudomonadati; Thermodesulfobacteriota; Desulfuromonadia; Geobacterales; Geobacteraceae. The record is from RNAcentral.